CUCUUCUGUGGGAUUCCCUGAGCUCUGAGAGGAGGGGUUUGACUGAGGUCUCCAGUUUAGACUUUCUCUCUGUGCAAUGUCUGUCUGUGGGGCUCUGUGUUUGCUCCUAUCUGCUGCUGGAGGAAGCCUGUCUGGUUAUGGAAACAGGAUCAACGUUUCCAGGCUUCCAAAGUUGACUGAGGUCCAGCGACUCUCCAGGAAUACUCCAGGUCUUUGGACAGAUUGGAAGAGCUGAGCUACCCACCCUGCCUCAAGGACAGAGCAGAGACUUGCCAUUACUAUUUUGACUUAAGCUAAUUUAAUAAGUUCUUUGUGUCUUGUUCUCCUAGUAAACUUUGAUUAAGGC
This is a long non-coding RNA of Mus musculus (house mouse), 346 nucleotides long. RefSeq annotates it as RIKEN cDNA 1700021F02 gene. NCBI's taxonomy places the organism in Eukaryota, Metazoa, Chordata, Mammalia, Rodentia, Muridae. The transcript has 2 exons. The record is from RefSeq and is marked validated.